RNAcentral lists this ribosomal RNA (497 nucleotides) under uncultured bacterium. RNAcentral describes it as "partial 16S ribosomal RNA". It matches the Rfam family "Bacterial small subunit ribosomal RNA", at positions 28 to 507 of the family's 1533-position model. The record is from RNAcentral.
GAUGAACGCUGGCGGCGUGCCUAAUACAUGCAAGUCGAGCGAACAGACGAGGAGCUUGCUCCUCUGACGUUAGCGGCGGACGGGUGAGUAACACGUGGAUAACCUACCUAUAAGACUGGGAUAACUUCGGGAAACCGGAGCUAAUACCGGAUAAUAUAUUGAACCGCAUGGUUCAAUAGUUAAAGACGGUUUUGCUGUCACUUAUAGAUGGAUCCGCGCCGCAUUAGCUAGUUGGUAAGGUAACGGCUUACCAAGGCAACGAUGCGUAGCCGACCUGAGAGGGUGAUCGGCCACACUGGAACUGAGACACGGUCCAGACUCCUACGGGAGGCAGCAGUAGGGAAUCGUCCGCAAAGGGCGAAAGCCUGACGGAGCAACGCCGCGUGAGUGAUGAAGGUCUGCGGAUCGUAAAACUCUGUUAUUAGGGAAGAACAAAUGUGUAAGUAACUAUGCACGUCUUGACGGUACCUAAUCAGAAAGCCACGGCUAACUACGUG